Macrosteles quadrilineatus (aster leafhopper) is the source of this 427-nucleotide long non-coding RNA. RefSeq lists it as uncharacterized. Lineage: Eukaryota; Metazoa; Arthropoda; Insecta; Hemiptera; Cicadellidae. The transcript has 3 exons. The record is from RefSeq and is a predicted model, not a curated record.
CGUCACGGCGAGCCUGUGCGCCCGUCACUAUCGCUAUAUAACCUCUUGUUGUAGCUAAAUCCUGUCAAAGUAAAACCAUCAUUCUUUGUUGUCCAGUGAUAGUGAGAGUAAAACUACAAGAAAAUGCCAGGACCGUGCUGUGACUCUUGCAAAGACACUUGUGGAGCUGGAGGAAAGUGUACUUGUGGAGAUAACUGCAAGUGCUCCAGCGACUGUCAGUGCUGCAAGAAAGGCAGCAGUUGCUCUUGCAAGACAGGAGGCCAAUGUAAAUGCCCAGAAGGAUCCUGCAACUGCUAGACUCAACAUUGGACCUGCCUCUUACAUUCCACUGAUCAAAUGUCAAGUGUCGAUUGGAGUUUGAGUUUUCCUACAUCUGUUACUUUUUUUUGUACAUGUUUAUUGUUUAAUUAAAGUAUUUAUUCCCCAA